CCUACGGGAGGCAGCAGUGAGGAAUAUUGGUCAAUGGGCGCGAGCCUGAACCAGCCAAGUAGCGUGAAGGAUGACUGCCCUACGGGUUGUAAACUUCUUUUAUAAAGGAAUAAAGUGAGGCACGUGUGCCUUUCUGUAUGUACUUUAUGAAUAAGGAUCGGCUAACUCCGUGCCAGCAGCCGCGGUAAUACGGAGGAUCCGAGCGUUAUCCGGAUUUAUUGGGUUUAACGGGAGCGUAGAUGGGUUGUUAAGUCAGUUGUGAAAGUUGGCGGCUCAACGGUAAAAGUGCCAUUGAUACUGGCAGUCUUGAGUACAGUUGAGGUAGGCGGAAUUCGUGGUGUAGCGGUGAAAUGCUUAGAUAUCACGCAGAACUCCGAUUGCGAAGGCAGCUUACUAAACUGCCACUGACAUUGAUGCUCGAAAGUGUGGGUAUCAAACAGGAUUAGAUACCCCAGUAGUC
Molecule: ribosomal RNA, 460 nt
Filed under: uncultured bacterium
Lineage: Bacteria
Description: partial 16S ribosomal RNA
Rfam family: Bacterial small subunit ribosomal RNA
Source: RNAcentral